This 253-nucleotide ribosomal RNA is filed under the name uncultured bacterium. Its description in RNAcentral is "partial 16S ribosomal RNA". It matches the Rfam family "Bacterial small subunit ribosomal RNA", at positions 524 to 776 of the family's 1533-position model. The record is from RNAcentral.
UACGUAGGGCGCAAGCGUUGUCCGGAAUUAUUGGGCGUAAAGAGCUCGUAGGCGGCUUGUCACGUCGGGUGUGAAAGCCCGGGGCUUAACCCCGGGUCUGCAUUCGAUACGGGCUAGCUAGAGUGUGGUAGGGGAGAUCGGAAUUCCAGGUGUAGCGGUGAAAUGCGCAGAUAUCAGGAGGAACACCGGUGGCGAAGGCGGAUCUCUGGGCCAUUACUGACGCUGAGGAGCGAAAGCGUGGGGAGCGAACAGG